CUAUUUGUGCUGUAAGCUGCUUACCCCAUUGAAAAUUGUUCUUUAUAGAGAAAAACCCUAGGAAGGUCCUGUGGCACAGAGCAUCAAGAAUCCAGUGUUGCUGCAGCUGUGGCUCAGGUCGCAAGGGCAGCACAGGUUCAACCUCUAGCCCAAGAAGUUCCACAUGCCCACCCCCCAAAAAACAAACAAGCAAAAAAAGAGUUCCCGUUGUGGCUCAGAGGUAUUCAUGAGGAUGCAGGUUUGAUCCCUGGCCUCGCUCAGUGGGUUAAGGAUCAGGCAUUGCCAUGGACUGUGGUGUAGGCUGCAGAUGCAGCUCAGAUCUGCCGUUGCUGUGGCUGUGGUGUCGGCCAGCAGCUGUAGCUCCAAUUAAACCCCUAGCCUGGGAACUUCCCUAAGAUGAGGGUGUGGCUCUAAAAAAAAAACCCUGAGCAUGGGAUCUCUAUUUCAUCCCGCCUCCUCUGCCCGCCCUGCCAGCCAGCCCUAGACUCUGGCUGACUGUAUAUUUAAAAACUCUACAGGAAAGUUCCUGCUGUGGCUCAGCAGGUGAAGGACCCAACUUUGUCUCUGGGGAUGUAGGUUCAAUCCCUGGCCUUGCUCAGUGGGUUAAGAAUCUGACUGCGGCAGCUAGGGUCUCUGCAGAGGUGUGGGUUCAAUCCCUGGCACAGUGCAGUAGAUUAAAGGAUCCGGUGUUGUUACAGCUGUGACUCGGAUUCAAAACCUGGCCAGGAACUUCCAUGUGGCUCCGGGGCAGCCAUAAAAUUAAAAAAAAAAAAUUUAAGCUUUCUGAAGAUUCAGGGUAAACCUUACACUCCCUGGAAUAAAGCUGAGCUGUAAGCUAUAGUCAAAGAUUUCCCCCAAGUAACUGAAGAUAAAGAUUUGCGAGGAAUUUAGUGACUGAAACUCAUCAACGCGGCUUCUCUGACUUACGGCAGUUAGUUCAUACGCUCGUCAGUGAAGGCCGGGCCUGGCAUUGGGUGAAAAGCACUAAUGAGAAAAGUCAGAAAUGUCUGGAGAAUUACCACUGAGUGAAUUACAACUUUGCUCAGGCAACUUUUGGGCGAUUUCCCUGAGCAAGUCCUAGCACUUUUCUAAAGUCUAUUGAUUAGAAAAAAAUUUAGACUUGUACACAAAAAAAUUUAGACUUGUACACUGGUAAGCCUCUUCAUGACUGUUACAACUGACUUCAGAUUGUUUUUAAAGAAAAUUCUGGAAUUCCCCUGUGGCCUAGCAAUUAAGGAUCUGGUGUUGUCAUUUCUGUGGCUUGGGUUCAAUCCCUGGCCAAGGAACUUCUACAUCCUACGGAUGCAGCCACAGGGAAAAAAUGGUAGAACUUGUGAAAAGUGUUCUUAGCACAACAAAAACUAAAUAUUUAGGGAGUUCCCGUCAUGGCUCAGUGGUUAACAAACCCAACUGGCAUCCACGGGGACACAGGUUUGAUCCUUGGCCUUGCUCAGUGGGUUGAGGAUCCAGCAUUGCUGUGAGCUGUGGUGUAGGUUGCAGACAUGGUUCACAUCCCAAGUUGCUGUGACUGUGGUGUAGGCCGGCAGCUGUAAAUCCUAUUUGACCCCUAGCCUAGGAACCUCCAGAUGCCUUAGAUGUGGCCCUAAAAGGCAAAAAAUAAUAAAUAAAUAACUACUUAAUUUUUUUUUUUUUGUCUUUUUGCCAUUUCCAGGGCCACUCCCACGGCACAUGGAGUUCCCGUUGUGGCGCAGUGGUUAACGAAUCUGACUAGGAACCAUGAGGUUUCAGGUUCAAUCCUCGCCCUUGCUCAGUGGGUUAAGGAUCCGGCAUUGCCAUGAGCCGUGUAGAUGCAGCUUGUAUCCAAAGUUACUGUGGCUGUGGUGUAGGCCAGCAGCAACAGCUCUGAUUAGACCCCUAGCCUGGGAAUCUCCAUAUGCCGUGGAAGCGGCCCUAGAAAAGGCAAAAGCAAAAAAAAAAAAAAAAAAAA
This 1948-nucleotide long non-coding RNA is filed under the name Sus scrofa (pig). RNAcentral describes it as "lncRNA (ENSSSCG00015032226.1)". The record is from RNAcentral. Lineage: Eukaryota; Metazoa; Chordata; Mammalia; Artiodactyla; Suidae.